RNAcentral lists this ribosomal RNA (292 nucleotides) under uncultured bacterium. RNAcentral describes it as "partial 16S ribosomal RNA". It matches the Rfam family "Bacterial small subunit ribosomal RNA", at positions 505 to 796 of the family's 1533-position model. The record is from RNAcentral.
GUGCCAGCAGCCGCGGUAAGACAGAGGGUGCAAACGUUGUUCGGAAUUACUGGGCGUAAAGCGCGUGUAGGCGGCUCGGCAAGUCGGGUGUGAAAGCCCUGGGCUUAACCUAGGAAGUGCACUCGAAACUGCCAAGCUUGAGUUCUGGAGAGGAAGGCGGAAUUCUCGGUGUAGAGGUGAAAUUCGUAGAUAUCGAGAGGAACACCGGUGGCGAAGGCGGCCUUCUGGACAGCAACUGACGCUGAGACGCGAAAGCGUGGGGAGCAAACAGGAUUAGAAACCCCCGUAGUCC